UAGGGAAUCUUCGGCAAUGGGCGAAAGCCUGACCGAGCAACGCCGCGUGAAUGAUGAAGGCCUUCGGGUUGUAAAAUUCUGUUAUAAGGGAAGAACGGCUUUAGUAGGAAAUGGCUAGAGUGUGACGGUACCUUAUGAGAAAGCCACGGCUAACUACGUGCCAGCAGCCGCGGUAAUACGUAGGUGGCAAGCGUUAUCCGGAAUUAUUGGGCGUAAAGAGCGCGCAGGUGGUUGAUUAAGUCUGAUGUGAAAGCCCACGGCUUAACCGUGGAGGGGCAAUGGAAACUGGUCGACUUGAGUGCGGAAGAGGGAAGUGGAAUUCCAUGUGUAGCGGUGAAAUGCGUAGAGAUAUGGAGGAACACCAGUGGCGAAGGCGGCUUCCUGGUCUGUAACUGACACUGAGGCGCGAAAGCGUGGGGAGCAAACA
RNAcentral lists this ribosomal RNA (427 nucleotides) under uncultured prokaryote. RNAcentral's name for it is "bacterial SSU rRNA". It matches the Rfam family "Bacterial small subunit ribosomal RNA", at positions 355 to 774 of the family's 1533-position model. The record is from RNAcentral.